Polyodon spathula (Mississippi paddlefish) is the source of this 971-nucleotide long non-coding RNA. RefSeq lists it as uncharacterized. The transcript is spliced from 4 exons. NCBI's taxonomy places the organism in Eukaryota, Metazoa, Chordata, Actinopteri, Acipenseriformes, Polyodontidae. The record is from RefSeq and is a predicted model, not a curated record.
GUCAUAGAUCUUUCACAGUUUUGAGUACGUGUGUAUUGCUGUUACAUGCAUUGUUGUCUGUAAUAUGCCUUUCAAACUGCUCAUUUCUUGUAAAGCCUAUUUCGUAGCCCCCAAUCUCUAAGAUUAGAUCUAAUUUUAUAGGACAACCCAUCCACGUGGCUUGGCUGUAAUGAACAAACAAAUUGCCAACGAGAAGGAUAUAUAAACAAACAGUGGUUCUAGGAGCCUGAAGAACUUGCAAAUAAAAAAAGCAUUUGGUAUCGAAUUCCAAAAGUUUCCUUUUCAGUCAUGAAAAACAUAAUUCUUUUCUCGACUCUUGUUUUGCUUUUUCAAGUUGCAUUAUAUACUUGCCAAACACAAAAGUGUAAUUUGAAAGGAAAAUGGAAAAAUCAACUUGGAUCCACAAUGAAUAUUUCCAAGGGACAAAACAAUGGAAACUUCACUGGCUCAUAUUUAACUAAAGUGACAAGAGAAAAGAACGUGGAAAUUAAGAUAUCGCCCAUCUCUGGAGUUGUACAUAAUUCUUCUGAGCCGAUAUUUGCUUUCCUUGUUAAGUGGUCUUUCUCAGAUUCUAUAACAAGCUUUAUUGGCCAGUGCUUUGAUGACGACAAAGGUGAACGUCUUGAAACCAUGUGGCUGCUCAGAGCAAAAGCGAGCUCCAGCGAAAACUGGGCGGCAACCAGGGUUGGCAGUGAUGUGUUUCGUCGGUUGACCUAAAGAAAAGGAAAUUCAUCAGGAAGUUCAAAGCGAUUGAAGCGGCGUUAUCAAAAAAGGCUGAAAUAAUUUGCUCUCCCUACUUUGUAAUCUUUCUUAUCAUGAAAUUUAAGCAUACUUAAAUGAAAUCUCUCGCUCUCUGAUCUCAUUUGAUUUGUUUUUCCAUUGUUCAUUAAAUUUAAAGCAUUAAAAUACAUGUAUCCUGUGUUUAUUUAGUGUUAUGAAAUAAACAACAGUGGUAAUAUUCCUAGGGUGAA